GACGAACGCUGGCGGCGUGCUUAACACAUGCAAGUCGAACGGAAAGGCCCUGCUUUUGUGGGGUGCUCGAGUGGCGAACGGGUGAGUAACACGUGAGUAACCUGCCCUUGACUUUGGGAUAACUUCAGGAAACUGGGGCUAAUACCGGAUAGGAGCUCCUGCUGCAUGGUGGGGGUUGGAAAGUUUCGGCGGUUGGGGAUGGACUCGCGGCUUAUCAGCUUGUUGGUGGGGUAGUGGCUUACCAAGGCUUUGACGGGUAGCCGGCCUGAGAGGGGGACCGGCCACAUUGGGACUGAGAUACGGCCCAGACUCCUACGGGAGGCAGCAGUGGGGAAUAUUGCACAAUGGGCGGAAGCCUGAUGCAGCAACGCCGCGUGCGGGAUGACGGCCUUCGGGUUGUAAACCGCUUUCGACUGUGACGAAGCGUGAGUGACGGUAAUUGGUAAAGAAGCACCGGCUAACUACGUG
RNAcentral lists this ribosomal RNA (468 nucleotides) under uncultured bacterium. Its description in RNAcentral is "partial 16S ribosomal RNA". It matches the Rfam family "Bacterial small subunit ribosomal RNA", at positions 28 to 507 of the family's 1533-position model. The record is from RNAcentral.